Non-coding RNA from Acanthosepion pharaonis, 113 nucleotides. Lineage: Eukaryota; Metazoa; Mollusca; Cephalopoda; Sepiida; Sepiidae. The record is from the annotation of a GenBank genome assembly.
UAUGACCACAUCACAUUGAAACACCAGCUCCUGUACGAUCACUGAAGUAAAGCAAUGUCGAACCUGCUCUGUACCUAGAUGGGUGACCGCAUGGUGAUACCAAGUGCUGUAAG